Molecule: transfer RNA, 61 nt
Filed under: Gloeosoma sp. GLO01
Lineage: Eukaryota; Metazoa; Arthropoda; Insecta; Coleoptera; Corylophidae
Description: tRNA-Ser
Source: RNAcentral
AGAAAUAUUUAAAAUUAAGCUUCUAACUUAAAUUAAAGUGGAAUAAACCAUUAUAUUUCUA